RNAcentral lists this ribosomal RNA (252 nucleotides) under uncultured bacterium. RNAcentral describes it as "partial 16S ribosomal RNA". It matches the Rfam family "Bacterial small subunit ribosomal RNA", at positions 524 to 776 of the family's 1533-position model. The record is from RNAcentral.
UACGUAGGGCGCAAGCGUUGUCCGGAAUUAUUGGGCGUAAAGAGCUCGUAGGCGGCUUGUCACGUCGGGUGUGAAAGCCCGGGGCUUAACCCCGGGUCUGCAUUCGAUACGGGCUAGCUAGAGUGUGGUAGGGGAGAUCGAAUUCCUGGUGUAGCGGUGAAAUGCGCAGAUAUCAGGAGGAACACCGGUGGCGAAGGCGGAUCUCUGGGCCAUUACUGACGCUGAGGCGCGAAAGCGUGGGGAGCAAACAGG